This 1343-nucleotide long non-coding RNA is filed under the name Salmo salar (Atlantic salmon). RNAcentral describes it as "lncRNA (ENSSSAG00000105983.1)". Lineage: Eukaryota; Metazoa; Chordata; Actinopteri; Salmoniformes; Salmonidae. The record is from RNAcentral.
CUCGGGGGCAGUAUUGAGACAUUUUGAAAAAAAUAUGUGCCCAUUUUUAACUGCCUCCUACACCAACUCAGAAGCUAGGAUAUGCAUAUUAUUAACACAUUCGGAUAGAGAACACUCUGAAUUUUCUAAAACAGUUUGAAUGGUGUCUGUAAGUAUAACAAAACUCAUAUUGCAGGCAAAAACCUGUGAAAAAUAGAUUUAAAAAAAUGUGAAUUUUGUGACUGUACUAUUUAGUGUCAUUGUUUUAUAGAUACCAUAGUGAGAAAGGAUUCAUUUCGCAACACCUACGGCUUCCACUAGAUGUCAACGAUCUUUAUAAAGUUGUUUGAAGCGUCUAUGAUAAACAGAGAGCAAAUUAGAAUCCAAGGAAGUUGACAUGUCAUCACUUCAUUUUUUUGCGCCUGCGCAUAAAUCUGAGAAACAAACCACAUUUGUUCCGGACCUGGGAUGCCUUCCGGACCUGGGAUGCCUGUCUUCUGAUGGAGAUAAUCAAAGGACCUGAGCCCUAGGACCAUGCCUCAGGACUACCUGGUAUGACUCCUCCUUGCUGUCCCCAGUCCACCUGGCCGUGCUGCUGCUCCAGUUUCAACUGUUCUGCCUGCGGCUAUGGAACCCUGACCUGUUCACCGGACGUGCUUGUUGCACCCUCGACAACUACUAUGAUUAUUAUUAUUUGACCAUGCUGGUCAUUUAUGAACAUUUUAACAUUUUAACAUUUUGACCAUGUUCUGUUAUAAUAUCCACCCUGCACAGCCAGAAGAGGACUGGCCACCCCUCAUAGCCUGGUUCCUCUCUAGGUUUCUUCCUAGGUUUUUGGCCUUUCUAGGGAGUUUUUCCUAGGGAGUUUUUCCUAGCCACCGUGCUUCUUUCACAUGCUUUGCUUGCUGUUUGGGGUUUUAGGCUGGGUUUCUGUACAGCACUUUGAGAAUAUCAGCUGAUGUACGAAGGGCUAUAUAAAAAUAAAUUUGAAAUUUGAUUCAAUGCACCUUGGCAUAGAUUCUACAAGUGUCUGGAACUCUAUUGUCAGGAUGCAUUUGGUGUUUUGUUGAUGGUGGUGGAUAACGUUGUCUCAGGCGGUGCUCCAGAAUCUCCCAUCAGUGUUCAAUUGGGUUGAGAUUUAGUGACUGAGAGGGCCAUGGCAUAUGGUUUGCAUCGUUUUCAUGCUCAUAAAACCAUUCCGUGACCACUCAUGCCCUGUGAAUGGGGGCAUUGUCAUCUUUGGGGCAUCGCCAUGGUAACCAAAAUAAUGGCCUGCCCAGCAUUUUUAUAUCUGACCCUAAGCAUGAUGGGAUGUUAAUUGCUUAAUUAACUCAGGAACCACAGCUGUGUGGAAGCACCUGCUU